UACAGUAUGUUCAUCUUUCUUCUCCACAGGGGGGAAGAUUACCGGCUGGACACUCGAGCCUAGCGAUGAAGAGACAGGGAAACAUGUCAGCCCUUCACAUCAAUGUCUAGGCUUUGGAAUGAUACCUGUAGGACUUGAAUCGCACGUUUGCUAGCGCACUAGCAAUUACUGUCUGAAAUGAGCGACUGAGUCCGGGUACCAGGUGGACUAGGAUGGCGUCAUGUCGUUCGAAUUUUGUGGAAACUGAGCCUUCUGUCGUCGAGCCAAUGUAGGAUACGAUCAAUUGUGUGUAGGAGAACGUAUCAAGUCAAAGCUGUGGUUGUAGCAUUUUUCUGCUUUGCUCAUGGAGCUGAUUAUUGAUAUCAGACAAGGUAGUUUGACCUUCUACUUAUCUUAUUUGAGUUUGUACGCUCUCAUUUUAUACCUUAUUGUCGCCACCUCUGUUAGCUGUGAAGACAGUUACAUUUAAGUGAAUGACUGGUGUAAUAGUGGUGAAGAUAUUCGUAUUUUGACUGGACUUGAGUUGCUUUUUGCUCCUCGCGCAAGAUCACUUACCAUGCUGGUCCAACGUGUUCAGGCUUAAAUAAAAAUUCUAUCAAAGUGCUUGGCGAUUUCUUUGCCAACCCCAGAAGAUCCUCAAGACUUGGCGGAAGGGUACAAGAAAGAGAGAGACAAGAAAACACAUCAGACGUAUGCAGCAAUAUAUAAGUCUUGAAACUGUACUUGGAACCAUACAAGUUACAGCAGUUGUUAAAUAGAACGAUUAUUGAUAAUACUACAGAAAUGUUGUAAUAACCCACUGUGAUCUUCGCACGUCAACUCUUCACUUAUUUUUACGUCUCCUGCGGUCUGU
Molecule: long non-coding RNA, 853 nt
Organism: Corticium candelabrum
Lineage: Eukaryota; Metazoa; Porifera; Homoscleromorpha; Homosclerophorida; Plakinidae
Exons: 3
Source: RefSeq, a predicted model, not a curated record